GGAUUAGAUACCCUGGUAGUCCACGCCGUAAACGAUGUCUACUUGGAGGUUGUUCCCUUGAGGAGUGGCUUUCGGAGCUAACGCGUUAAGUAGACCGCCUGGGGAGUACGGUCGCAAGAUUAAAACUCAAAUGAAUUGACGGGGGCCCGCACAAGCGGUGGAGCAUGUGGUUUAAUUCGAUGCAACGCGAAGAACCUUACCUGGUCUUGACAUCCACAGAACUUUCUAGAGAUAGAUUGGUGCCUUCGGGAACUGUGAGACAGGUGCUGCAUGGCUGUCGUCAGCUCGUGUUG
This 293-nucleotide ribosomal RNA is filed under the name uncultured bacterium. RNAcentral describes it as "partial 16S ribosomal RNA". It matches the Rfam family "Bacterial small subunit ribosomal RNA", at positions 775 to 1067 of the family's 1533-position model. The record is from RNAcentral.